GCUGGAUCCCCUCCUUUCUAAGGAUGAUCCCCUCAGAUCGCCGGACAUUGCGUCCGACCGGUCUCUCGGGAUCUCUUGGAACAGCGGUCUUGAACCGCAAAUCAAUAGCGGGGCGUACGCCGUCCUCGUUUCUCUUUCUCUCACCGUCGCCGCCGGCGCUCGCUGGCGCGACGAAUGUCUUGGCGACAAGCUGGCGAGCGCCUACGAGCUUGGCCGACGUGCGUCACAGCGCAUUGGGGCCGGUAGCUCAGGUGGUUAGAGCGCACGCCUGAUAAGCGUGAGGUCGAUGGUUCAAGUCCAUCUCGGCCCACCACUCUUUUCGGGUGGCGCGUCUUUGAGAUCGGGGCCUUAGCUCAGCUGGGAGAGCAUCUGCUUUGCAAGCAGAGGGUCAUCGGUUCGAUCCCGAUAGGCUCCACCAAACGCGCUCGGCGAUGCGCGUCAGGACAUUCAAUGAGAGAAGCGCUCGAGCCCUCCGGCUCGCGCAUCCACAGUUUCUGAAAUCGUGAAGAAGGGUCGUUUGUUCGGUUUGCUUUGCAGGCUGACGAGCGAUGCGAGAGUCAAAUUGUCUGACUAUUCAUGAGCGUCUGGUCCGCUUUGCACGGGCGGAUCGAUCGACGCGCAUGAGAUUUGCUGACGAUCAAGUGUCUAAGGGCGUUCAGGGGAUGCCUUGGCAGACGCAGGCGAUGAAGGACGUGCCAUGCUGCGAAAAGCUGCGGGGAGCUGCAAGGAAGCUUUGAUCCGUAGAUGUCCGAAUGGGGGAAACCCGGAAGC
RNAcentral lists this unclassified non-coding RNA (771 nucleotides) under uncultured bacterium. Its description in RNAcentral is "partial contains 16S ribosomal RNA, 16S-23S ribosomal RNA intergenic spacer, and 23S ribosomal RNA". The stretch from base 636 to 771 matches the Rfam family "Bacterial large subunit ribosomal RNA", at positions 1 to 135 of the family's 2925-position model. The record is from RNAcentral.